UUUGAAUGGGGUUGUAGCUGGCCUUUCAACGGGCAUGUGCACACCUCGCUUCAAUCCACUUACACCUGUGCACACUUUGUAGGUCGGCUUUAGGAACGGGUCUCUAACGGGGCUUGUUUCGGGCCUUCCUAUGUAUUAUUACAAACGUUUAAAGUCUAAAGAAUGUACUCGCGUCUAACGCAUUAUAUACAACUUUCAGCAACGGAUCUCUUGGCUCUCGCAUCGAUGAAGAACGCAGCGAAAUGCGAUAAGUAAUGUGAAUUGCAGAAUUCAGUGAAUCAUCGAAUCUUUGAACGCACCUUGCGCUCCUUGGUAUUCCGAGGAGCAUGCCUGUUUGAGUGUCAUGGAAUUAUCAACUCGUUUGUCUUUGUAUGAACGCAGUUGGAUUUGGAGGCUAUUGCCGGAUUGUAAUGAUUCGGCUCCUCUUGAAUGCAUUAGCUCGAACCUUUGCRGAUCAGCUUUUGGUGUGAUAAUUGUCUACGCCGCUAACUGAGACGCAUGAAUGGGAUCGGCUUAUAAUCGUCCUCUAACGGACAAYUUAUUAUGACUUCUGACCUCAAAUCAGGUAGGAUUACCCGCUGAACUUAAGCAUAUCAAUAAGCGGAGGAAAAGAAACUAACAAGGAUUCCCCUAGUAACUGCGAGUGAAGCGGGAAAAGCUCAAAUUUAAAAUCUGGCGGUCUUUGGCCGUCCGAGUUGUAGUCUGGAGAAGUGCUUUCCGCGCUGGACCGUGUACAAGUCUCUUGGAACAGAGCGUCAUAGAGGGUGAGAAUCCCGUCUUUGACACGGACUACCAGUGCUUUGUGAUGCGCUCUCAAAGAGUCGAGUUGUUUGGGAAUGCAGCUCAAAAUGGGUGGUAAAUUCCAUC
RNAcentral lists this ribosomal RNA (867 nucleotides) under Antrodia tanakae. RNAcentral describes it as "eukaryotic LSU rRNA". The stretch from base 552 to 867 matches the Rfam family "Eukaryotic large subunit ribosomal RNA", at positions 1 to 310 of the family's 3401-position model. Lineage: Eukaryota; Fungi; Basidiomycota; Agaricomycetes; Polyporales; Fomitopsidaceae. The record is from RNAcentral.